CAGCUCUGUCAAACGCUGCUGCUGGGUGGAGCUCCCUGAAGACAGAGAGUGAACCCUUGGUUUUCGCCAUGUAGAGGUCUGCUGUGCUGAGACUCAUGGCAAACCCCAGGAGCCACCUAUGAUGUGCCAGACACAUAAGCCCCUCCCUCACAGGCGUGGGUGCAGCCGGGGCCGACCGCAUUCCAAGGAGCAUUUCCUCUGAAAGCCAGGCCAAGUGCCCGCUCUCCAGCGAUUUUGGUCUAGGCAACAUCAGAUGAAAACGAACACUAAGGGCAAUCCUGAAGAACCAAAAGAAACUGGCAAUGGACAGGGGUGAAUUGCAUCCUGUACUGUUUACAGCCUUAUCUCCAACUUUUGCAGAGUCAAGAAUUUAAAAGCAGCAGGGCUUGGUGGCCCAUGCCUGUAAUCCCAAUAUUUUGGGAGGCCGCAGCGGGAGGAUCACUUGAGGCCAGGAGUUCCAGACCUCCCUGGGCAACAUGAUGAGACCACAUCUCUACAGAAAAAUUAGCUGGGCAUGCUGGCAUGUGCCUGUAGUCCCAGCUCCUCAAGAGGCUGAGGUGGGAGGAUCACUUGAGCCCAGGAGGUCAAGGCUGCAGUGAGCUAUGAUCACACCAAUGCACUCUAGCCUGGGGACACAGUGAGACCCUGUCUCAAAA
Long non-coding RNA from Homo sapiens (human), 656 nucleotides. Ensembl annotates it as MIR5689 host gene. NCBI's taxonomy places the organism in Eukaryota, Metazoa, Chordata, Mammalia, Primates, Hominidae. The record is from Ensembl.